Molecule: ribosomal RNA, 432 nt
Filed under: Triticum aestivum (bread wheat)
Lineage: Eukaryota; Viridiplantae; Streptophyta; Magnoliopsida; Poales; Poaceae
Description: partial small subunit ribosomal RNA
Source: RNAcentral
AUGGCCCCGAUCCCGCACCCCAGCCCGUGCUCGCCUCCGUGCUCCUCACCACACGCCACGACAUCAUCGACGACCUCCUCCAUACCGGCGAGCUUGCGGCGGCAGGCGCAGGCCCUCACUGGCCAGACCACCAAGUGGUACGCCUGCUGCACCAUCGAGCCGGUCCCGGACGACGAGAUAGAUCCUGGAUCCAACCAGUACUCCAGGCUGGAAGAGUACCCUGAGGACGAGAGCGACUGCGAGUCCAGCGUGGACACCGGCGACGAGGACAUGGAGAACACCAAGUUCCUCCAGCCUCACACGCACGUGAUCUCCUUCCAGAAGAGGCAGGCACUAGUGACGUACCUGGAGAACAACAAGGCCGACAUCACCGUGUUCGGGUUCACGCUGGACCGGUCGUACCUCCACACCAUAACAGUCGACUUCUCGUGA